RNAcentral lists this ribosomal RNA (406 nucleotides) under uncultured bacterium. RNAcentral's name for it is "bacterial SSU rRNA". It matches the Rfam family "Bacterial small subunit ribosomal RNA", at positions 355 to 776 of the family's 1533-position model. The record is from RNAcentral.
UUGGGAAUCUUGCACAAUGGGGGAAACCCUGAUGCAGCGACGCCGCGUGGAGGAUGAAGGAUCUAGGUCUGUAAACUCCUUUUUCAGGGAAAGACUUAGGACGGUACCCUGAGAAUAAGCUCCGGCUAACUACGUGCCAGCAGCCGCGGUAAGACGUAGGGAGCAAGCGUUGUCCGGAUUUACUGGGCGUAAAGCGCGCGUAGGCGGCCUGUUAAGUGAGAAGUGAAAUCUCCAGAGCUCAACUCGGAAAUUGCUUUUCAUACUGGCAGGCUGGAGGGAUGUAGAGGUGAAUGGAAUUCCCGGUGUAGCGGUGAAAUGCGUUGAUAUCGGGAGGAACACCCAUGGCGAAGGCAGUUCACUGGACAUCUCCUGACGCUGAGGCGCGAAAGCGUGGGUAGCAAACAGG